AUAAAACAAAAGGAUAUUUCCAUUAGAUAAAACCUAUGUAAAGGCAUGCUAAUAUGCUCAAAGCAGAAUUGAAUAUGAAUUGAAAAUUAAGUGAAUUUUUAAGUUUUCUUUCCUUUGACUUCUCUUUUCUCUCUUCUUUUGUUAGCUUUCUUCAUUUUAUUGUCUCCAGCUGCAUUCCAUCAAUUACAGGCUAACAAUCAUGAAAGGAAGAGGCAAAGAAGUUAAUCAUGUUGCCCAAUGUUUGUACUGCUUUGGGGUAUUUGAUUGAAAGGAAAUUCCAAGUGUUUUACCAUUCUGUAGUAGUCUAGACAGGUACAGCAAUUAAUUCUGUUUUUUUCUUCAACUCACUGUGGUUAUCUGCUUCUAGGUCAUUUAAAAGAUUUAUCUUCAGUCAAUAUUUAGCAUAAUUUGGGAGUUUUACUUUGCUAAGUUUCAUUUUUAUUGAAGUUUUGGUUUCUUUAUAAGGAGGAUACCUUAAUCUCCCACUUUCAAUUGCUCGUUUCUAAUUAAUUCUUCUUCUAUUGAAUCAGGCAACAAAUCUACUAAGGGGAAAGGACUAUAUUAUCAAGCAAGUUAGGAAAGAAGUUUUCAACUCAGCUACCAGCCUACCACAUUGCCAAUGUAACAUCAUAUGAUACAUGCCAGUUAACCCUUUGUUAGCUAUUUGAAUAGAUGUUGGCUGCCAGCUUUGACUAAGCACUAUAUCCAGGAAAGCAUAUACCAGCUAGAAAUGCAAUGAAAAUGUAUUCUCACAUUUAGGAACCAUAACAAAAG
RNAcentral lists this unclassified non-coding RNA (774 nucleotides) under Hevea brasiliensis (rubber tree). Lineage: Eukaryota; Viridiplantae; Streptophyta; Magnoliopsida; Malpighiales; Euphorbiaceae. The record is from RNAcentral.